Molecule: ribosomal RNA, 430 nt
Filed under: Pseudomonadota bacterium
Lineage: Bacteria; Pseudomonadati; Pseudomonadota
Description: Proteobacteria bacterium partial 16S ribosomal RNA
Rfam family: Bacterial small subunit ribosomal RNA
Source: RNAcentral
UGGGGAAUAUUGGACAAUGGGGGGAACCCUGAUCCAGCCAUGCCGCGUGUGUGAAGAAGGCCUUAUGGUUGUAAAGCACUUUAAGCGAGGAGGAGGGUACUGGUAUUAAUACUACCAGGUACUGGACGUUACUCGCAGAAUAAGCACCGGCUAACUCUGUGCCAGCAGCCGCGGUAAUACAGAGGGUGCGAGCGUUAAUCGGAUUUACUGGGCGUAAAGCGUGCGUAGGCGGCUAAUUGAGUCGGAUGUGAAAUCCCAGAGCUUAACUUGGGAAUUGCAUUCGAUACUGGUUAGCUAGAGUGUGGGAGAGGAUGGUAGAAUUCCAGGUGUAGCGGAGAAAUGCGUAGAGAUCUGGAGGAAUACCGAUGGCGAAGGCAGCCAUCUGGCCUAACACUGACGCUGAGGUACGAAAGCAUGGGGAGCAAACAGG